AUUGAACGCUGGCGGAAUGCUUACACAUGCAAGUCGAACGGCAGCACGGGGGCAACCCUGGUGGCGAGUGGCGAACGGGUGAGUAAUACAUCGGAACGUGCCCAGUCGUGGGGGAUAACUACGCGAAAGCGUAGCUAAUACCGCAUACGAUCUACGGAUGAAAGCGGGGGACCGUAAGGCCUCGCGCGAUUGGAGCGGCCGAUGGCAGAUUAGGUAGUUGGUGAGGUAAAGGCUCACCAAGCCUGCGAUCUGUAGCUGGUCUGAGAGGACGACCAGCCACACUGGGACUGAGACACGGCCCAGACUCCUACGGGAGGCAGCAGUGGGGAAUUUUGGACAAUGGGCGAAAGCCUGAUCCAGCCAUUCCGCGUGCAGGAUGAAGGCCCUCGGGUUGUAAACUGCUCCGUACGGAA
This 413-nucleotide ribosomal RNA is filed under the name Comamonadaceae bacterium Ellin7242. RNAcentral's name for it is "bacterial SSU rRNA". It matches the Rfam family "Bacterial small subunit ribosomal RNA", at positions 29 to 444 of the family's 1533-position model. Lineage: Bacteria; Pseudomonadati; Pseudomonadota; Betaproteobacteria; Burkholderiales; Comamonadaceae. The record is from RNAcentral.